CCUCGGCGGCGGUGGCUAUGAAUGUAGUGCCCUGGUCAGCGCAUGAAGACAUCGAUUGUUCUCAGUCGUCGGUUUCGCGCUGUCGUGGGUUGACGUGUGUGUGUGUUGUGCUUCUUGUUUCAUGCUAAUUACCACAUGGAGGUGGAACCCCUGUAGCUGACCAAAAAGGCCAGGACUGUCAGAUGCGAUAUAUGAAUUGGUUCAAGUUCUUCAAACAGAGCUGACCCAACAGAAGGCCUCUGGUGGCACACUGUAAUCAAGUGCGCCACUCCCACAGGAUUGGCCUUUUGCAUUCAUGUCUGAAUGCUGUCCAGGGCAUCCCACAGGCACCAGCUGCAUGACGAUGCCCCACCCCACGGAUUGUCUUAUGCCAACAGUGUGCUCCCGUAGGGAACUAUAGACACUAGAAGAUGGACUGUGGUCAUGCUAAGGAAUUCUUCAGUAGCUUCAUGGUGCACUAGAGAAGAAGCAGCAGACCUGGACGAAGUAAACAAACGGCCCUUGUCAGGGCCACCAUAUGUUUGCCAGAAUGGCUAGCGUUCUGCUGGUAGAAGAAACCCUGACGGUGAUAGAAGAUCACUGAACUAACCAUAACUCAAGCAUGAUGGCUACAACAGUGCUGAUAGAAAACAAUCAUUACAGUUGCAAAUGCCAUACAUUUCACUAAGCACUGUAUUUUUGAUGACAGUAAUAUUUAGAGUUGAA
Long non-coding RNA from Ornithodoros turicata, 705 nucleotides. RefSeq lists it as uncharacterized. The transcript is spliced from 3 exons. The record is from RefSeq and is a predicted model, not a curated record. NCBI's taxonomy places the organism in Eukaryota, Metazoa, Arthropoda, Arachnida, Ixodida, Argasidae.